AGCAGCCGCGGUAAUUCCAGCUCCAAUAGCGUAUAUUAAAGUUGUUGCAGUUAAAAAGCUCGUAGUUGAAUUUCGGGAUCAGUACGCUGGUCGUGCCUUCGGUAUGUACUGGUGUUACUGGUUCCUACCUUCUGACGAACCGUCAUGUCAUUAAUUUGGUGUGGCGGGGAAUCAGGACUGUUACUUUGAAAAAUUAGAGUGUUAAAGCAGGCUCGCGCUUGAAUACAUUAGCAUGGAAUAAUGAAAUAGGACGUUCGAUCCUAUUUUGUUGGUUUCUAGGAUUGACGUAAUGAUUAAUAGGGAUAGUUGGGGGCAUUAGUAUUCAAUUGUCAGAGGUGAAAUUCUUGGAUUUAUUGAAGACUAACUACUGCGAAAGCAUUUGCCAAGGAUGUUUUCAUUAAUCAAGAACGAAAGUUAGGGGAUCGAAGACGAUCAGAUACCGUCGUAGUC
RNAcentral lists this ribosomal RNA (450 nucleotides) under uncultured Glomus. Its description in RNAcentral is "SSU rRNA". It matches the Rfam family "Eukaryotic small subunit ribosomal RNA", at positions 569 to 1025 of the family's 1831-position model. Lineage: Eukaryota; Fungi; Glomeromycota; Glomeromycetes; Glomerales; Glomeraceae. The record is from RNAcentral.